This is a non-coding RNA of Callorhinus ursinus (northern fur seal), 116 nucleotides long. Lineage: Eukaryota; Metazoa; Chordata; Mammalia; Carnivora; Otariidae. The record is from RefSeq and is a predicted model, not a curated record.
GUUUUGCCACUUCUGCCACGCUGUGCAUAUGGAUGUGAGAAAGGGAGUCUGAAAUGAGACAUGCCAUCCUUGUAAUAUGUGUUAGGCAAGCCAGACAAGACCUCACAGCAGCUGUC